AUCCAAUGAGCAGUCAGCUCGUCCAGCUGGGGAGUGUGCUGCUUCAGAUAUGGGCACACCACCAUCUCUCUCUCUCUCUCUCUCUCUCUCUCUCACACACACACACACACACACACACACACUUGUAAGUUUUAUGAGCCUCUAGACAGUUGGCAUUCAACCUUCCUAAUGUUAUGACCUUUUAAUAGUUCUUCAUGUUAUAUGAGCAUAAAAUUAUUUUCAUUGCUACUUCAUAGCUGUAAUUUUGAGUAUAUAGAUUAUAAUGUAAAUAAAUAUAUUUGGAGAUAGAGGUUUGCCAAAGGGGUCAUGACCCACAGGUUGAGACCCCCAAGUUGUGUCUCCUUUGAAGUGUCUUAGCAGUUGAGUUUUAUAAAAUAAACCUUAUAAGGGAGUUGAACUCUCUUACUUUAUUUUGAUUAGAAAAUAAGGCUGGAGAUAAGAGACUGGUUGUAAGAUGCUUGUCUAACAUGCAAGGGUCGUAGUUUCAGUUCCUAGUGCUGUGAUGAAAAAAGAAAGGGAGGGAGGAAAAACGUAAUGAAAGGCCAUUUUCUCCACUGGGAAAAAUGGAGUUGGGGGGAAGGAGAUGAGUGGAAAAAGAAAAUUGAAUGGUUUUCCUUUUGAGAUACAUACAUCAAUAGAGUCUAGCUCGAGAGCUUAGUUGUCUUGUUUUAUUAUUAACAGGAUAGUACCUCAGUUAAGGCAGAAAGCUAAAAAUGUGAAGUCAGAUAAAUAUAGGCAACCAGAAGCAUGUAGAACAUAAAAUACUAGUGAUGAUUAAGUAUGUUACUUUUUCUUUGUUAAAAGAAAUGCUUUCAUCAAAGAAAAUGGCUAGUUAAAGUUUUCUUCUCUGUGAAGAGGAAAUGAGAUCAUUAUUCUUUUUUUCUUUCUUUCUUUUUUGGUUUUUCGAGACUGGCUUUCUCUGUGUAGGCUGUCCUGGAACUCACUCUGUAGACCAGGCUGGCCUCGAACUCAGAAAUCCACCUGCCUCUGCCUCCCGAGUACUGGGAUUAAAGGCGUGCACCACCAUGCCCAGCUCCAUUAUGGUUUUUCUAAGCUUGUUCUCUCAAAUUUAUUUUUAUUUAUGCCUAUGUAUAUAUCUGUGUGCAUAUAUGCUGUGUUUACAAGUACCCACAGAGACCAGAUGACGGUGUCAAAAGUUUCAAAAGCUGGAGUUGGAAGGAAUUGUAGUUCCUUGCUAUGGGUGCUAGGAACUACAAACUCAGGUCCUUUGGAACUGCUCUUAACUGUGUCACUCCAGCCCCUAUUCACUUUCAUAGAUUCAUUUUUAUAUACUUAUAUAUUUGUUUGAGUUCUGCCAGGCCUGGUAGUAAGGCCUGAAAUUUCAUUUAACUUGAAGAGGAAGAUAAUGGGAUUCCAAAAGAACAAAAAAUUAAAUUGGGUUAGGUUAUAUAUACUUCCUGGUAACUAGAAGUCAAGGCAGGAGGAUUGGGAUUUCAAGACCUGAGCUACAUGGGAUCCUGUCUCAAAACAACAACAAUAAAAAGAGGCAAGAGAGAACUUGAGUGAAGGACUCAUUCAGUAAGCUGGUUGCCAUGCAAGCAUGGGGCACAUCGUUCAGAUCCAGAGCACUUACAAGCCAGGCAGGGUGAUAGACCUGUAAUCCCAAUACUGGACAGAAAGAGACAGCAGUAUUUCUGGGACUUGAGAGUCACCCAUGCAGGACAAACUGAGGAACUCAGACUUAGUGAGGAACCCCAUC
Molecule: long non-coding RNA, 1720 nt
Filed under: Mus musculus (house mouse)
Lineage: Eukaryota; Metazoa; Chordata; Mammalia; Rodentia; Muridae
Description: long non-coding RNA chr12:3485182-3486902
Source: RNAcentral